CGGAUGAAGCUGAAAAAGAACCAGAGGUAGCAAAACCAAAGAAGCCUGUGAGUGCAGAUGCCGAAACUAGUAAGGGAUACCAACCUGUGGUACCCUAUCCUCAGAGAUUGGCAGCUGGCAAAAGUGGAGUUGUAAAACUUACCUUUGGAAACAUGACAUUGAAGCUGAAUAUCUUUAAUACUUGCAGGCAACCUCAGGAUUUAGAAGAAGGAACCGGGCAUGGGGUGCCUUGGCAACCAAUGUUUCCAAAGUUGCCACCUUGGGCAGCACCCAUAAAACCAUCUUCAGAUGACAGACACCAUCUCAUUGGAGCACUCAGGACACUCGAAAAUUCAAAUCUGAGAUGUUUAGCCAACGAACACAUCCAAACGACUUGAAUUUCUUGGGGACUCAGUUUUGGAUUAUCUCAUUACCAAGCAUUUCUAUUGUAAAUAUCCUGGGUUGUCACCAGAGCUGCUAACUGACAUGAGAUUGGCUUCUGUGAAUGAUGAUUGUUAUGCAUGAUCUGCAGUCAAGUGGGAACUGCACAAAGACAUCGUCCAUGCCUCACAAGAACUCCACAAGCACAUAGUUGAAACUAUUAACAAUUUUGAGAAGUUAUCAUCAGAAUCACUCGGACCAGCUCACAUGCAGCACACUCACACCAUGCAUGGGACCCACUCACACGAAACAAACAUGCAGAUCACUCGGUUGGGCAACACGACUAUAGCACAGCACACAUGCAGCACAGCACACAUGCAGCAGGAAGGCACUCGGACAGAAAGAACAUCACAUGGACCCACAGCCACUCAAACAUGCAAUCAUUCGGACACAUGCAUGGGACCAACCUGAACGUGCAGCAAUUUCAUUCGGACAGCACACAGCAACUGCUCUCACACCAGCUUACACAUGCUCACAUGCAGCACACAUGGGACCCACUCACACAAUCAGCUUUCGGACAGCAGGAACUGCAAUCACACGAUGCAACCAUGACAGCAGACCAUUCACAUUCGGUUGGGCAGCACUUUACAGCAGAUGGCCUCAUUCGGAUCACAUGCACACAUGAAAAGUGCAAACACAUCUGGACUCAACAAACCACACACAUGCAGAUCACUCGGAAGCUGCUGCAGCAAAGAAAAAGAAACUCACACAUGCAUGACAGCAGGAACAUUCACACACCCACUCACUCGGACCAUGCAGUGGAUUCACACCAGCUCACACGCAGAAAAGAACAGAACCAUGCACAUGCAGCAGCAGAUUCUAUUUCUUUCUUUCUUUCGUUUAAGCUGGACAGCAGGAGAUGAGUAUUUAAGGAGCUAGAGGCAGCAACACAAAGGGAGAGUUUUUUUUUCUCGGGCAGUAGUUAGUUUUCGAAGUUUGAUAGCUUAGCUUAAAGUUUUCUUUCAUGCUUUUCGUUCAGACAUAGGGGAGUUGAGUAGGAGUUCAGUGCGUGGAUAGCUUAGCUUAAAGUUUUUUUUAUGCUUUUCAUUCAGACUUUGAAGUUGUUUUCGGGAGCAGCAAGUUUCAGUUUUUGUUUUCUUAAUUUAUUUUCUGUUUAGAAGGAGCAGCAAGUUUCAGUUUUUGUUUUCUUAA
This is a long non-coding RNA of Carya illinoinensis, 1572 nucleotides long. RefSeq lists it as uncharacterized. The transcript is spliced from 2 exons. The record is from RefSeq and is a predicted model, not a curated record. NCBI's taxonomy places the organism in Eukaryota, Viridiplantae, Streptophyta, Magnoliopsida, Fagales, Juglandaceae.